Molecule: ribosomal RNA, 549 nt
Filed under: uncultured Glomus
Lineage: Eukaryota; Fungi; Glomeromycota; Glomeromycetes; Glomerales; Glomeraceae
Description: SSU rRNA
Rfam family: Eukaryotic small subunit ribosomal RNA
Source: RNAcentral
UUGGAGGGCAAGUCUGGUGCCAGCAGCCGCGGUAAUUCCAGCUCCAAUAGCGUAUAUUAAAGUUGUUGCAGUUAAAAAGCUCGUAGUUGAAUUUCGGGAUCAAUGGAUCGGUCAUGCCGUUGGUAUGUACUGGUUUUAUUGAUUCUCACCUUCUAAAGAACCAUGAUGGCAUUAAUUUGUUGUCGUGGGGAAUUAGGACUGUUACCUUGAAAAAAUUAGAGUGUUUAAAGCAGGCUUACGCUUGAAUACAUUAGCAUGGAAUAACGAAAUAGGACAUCGCAUUCUAUUUUGUUGGUUUCUAGGAUCGAUGUAAUGAUUAAUAGGGAUAGUUGGGGGCAUUAGUAUUCAACUGUCAGAGGUGAAAUUCUUGGAUUUAUUGAAGACUAACUACUGCGAAAGCAUUUGCCAAGGAUGUUUUCAUUAAUCAAGAACGAAAGUUAGGGGAUCGAAGACGAUCAGAUACCGUCGUAGUCUUAACCAUAAACUAUGCCGACUAGGGAUCGGAUGAUGUUAAUUUUUUAAUGACUCAUUCGGCACCUUACGGGAAAC